GACGAACGCUGGCGGCGUGCUUAACACAUGCAAGUCGAGCGAUGAAGUUUCUUCGGAAAUGGAUUAGCGGCGAACGGGUGAGGAACACGUGAAGAAUCUGCCCUCCACUUUGGGGUAACACCGGGAAACCGGUGCUAAUACCGAAUAUUGAAACAUAAGUGGCAUCACUGAGUUUUGAAAGAAUUUCGGUGGAGGAUGACUUCGCGGCCUAUCAGCUAGUUGGUGAGGUAAUGGCUCACCAAGGCAACGACGGGUAGCCGGCCUGAGAGGGCGACCGGCAAGACGGGGACUGAGACACGGCCCAGACUCCUCCGGGAGGCAGCUGUGGGGAAUAUUGGGCAAUGGAGGAAACUCUGACCCAGCGACGCCGCGUGCGGGAUGAAGGCCUUCGGGUUGUAAACCGCUUUCAGUAGGGAAGAAGCGAAAGUGACGGUACCUACAAAAGAAGCACCGGCUAACUAUGUGCCAGCAGCCGCCGUAA
This 481-nucleotide ribosomal RNA is filed under the name uncultured bacterium. Its description in RNAcentral is "partial 16S ribosomal RNA". It matches the Rfam family "Bacterial small subunit ribosomal RNA", at positions 28 to 523 of the family's 1533-position model. The record is from RNAcentral.